AAAAAGUUGGGGGGUGACCCCAUGCCAUGAGGCAAUUAUGCAAGCGUGUGCUCCAUGCCUGACUUCUCAUGUACGUGAAGCCGACACCCCAACACCGAGAGGGAAGUCCUGAAGCCACGACAUGUCGAGGACGUUGAUCCGAGUGGCACAAUUGGUGGAGAAAGGAAGGUGGAUGACCUACUUGACAACUCAAGAUCAC
RNAcentral lists this long non-coding RNA (199 nucleotides) under Musa acuminata (dwarf banana). Its description in RNAcentral is "long non-coding RNA (MACU_LNC000799)". The record is from RNAcentral. Lineage: Eukaryota; Viridiplantae; Streptophyta; Magnoliopsida; Zingiberales; Musaceae.